Molecule: non-coding RNA, 63 nt
Organism: Rattus norvegicus (Norway rat)
Lineage: Eukaryota; Metazoa; Chordata; Mammalia; Rodentia; Muridae
Source: Rfam
GGGGAUUUAGCUCAGUGGUAGAGCACUUGCCUAGCAAGCGCAAGGCCCUGGGUUCAGUCCCUA